This 738-nucleotide ribosomal RNA is filed under the name Triticum aestivum (bread wheat). RNAcentral describes it as "partial small subunit ribosomal RNA". The record is from RNAcentral. Lineage: Eukaryota; Viridiplantae; Streptophyta; Magnoliopsida; Poales; Poaceae.
AUGUGUAUUUACCUCCCAAACGAAAGCAUAACAAUCCUCGCAAAAAAAAAAUAUGAAAGCAUAACACAGGCUACGUGCACGAUUCCAGUCGGUCCACGUAUCACGCCCCCGUGCACACAAAUGACAGCCGAAAACCGAGCGAACCAACAGCACUUCCCUCCACCACCACCACGAGACAUAGAUAACGCGCCAGCGACCAUGCCGCCGCCGCCGUCCGCCCUCACCGCCUCCGCCGCGGCGUCCUCCUUCCUCCGCUCGCUGCCCCCUCCCAACCUCUCCGCCCUCCGGCCUUCCCCAUCGCUCAAACGCUCAGCAGGCCACUCCCGCGUGGUCGCGCGGGCCUCUGCGUCCGGCGCCGCCGCCGAGGCCGAGACGGUGUUCUUCGAUGGCGGCGCGCACUACGGCGACCUGGCGGCGAACCUCGUCCUCGGGCUGACCCUGCUGUGGCUGCCGCUGACCCUCGCCUCCGUGUCCCGCGCGCUCCUCCUCCGGUACCGCUUCACCUCCCGCCGCGUGACCGUCAUCUCCGGGCUCUCCGGCGACGACCGCACGGACUUCCCCUACUCGUCGGUGAGGGAGGUGGUGGUCGUGCCGCGGUUCAUCGGCGAGUGGGGCGACAUCGUCAUCACGCUCAAGGACGGCACCAAGGUCGACCUCAGGAGCGUGCCCAGGUUCCGCGAGGUCGCCGACUACUGCCGCAAGAUGGCCGCCGCCGAGGGCGGGCUCGGGACCCGGUGA